RNA transcript from Fragaria vesca subsp. vesca, 1437 nucleotides. It is a transcript of the gene named guanine nucleotide-binding protein subunit gamma 2-like, with no coding region annotated. The transcript is spliced from 4 exons. The record is from RefSeq and is a predicted model, not a curated record. NCBI's taxonomy places the organism in Eukaryota, Viridiplantae, Streptophyta, Magnoliopsida, Rosales, Rosaceae.
UUUCUGGGUUGUGGUUUGUUUCUGCUGUAAUGGCCUAGCUUUGGAUGAUCAAUUCUGUGUCUUUGUGAUAUAGUAAGUUGGUUUUACAAUUCAGUGAGAUAAAAGGUUGAUGCUUUUUUAGUGAUUUGUGAUAAGAUGCAAUCGGACGGGUCUGAUUCCGUGAGCCUGAGUCCGACAGCCCAGAGGGUGCAGCAGUCUCUGUCAGCCUCGGAUACUAGAGGGAAGCAUCGGAUACAGGCCGAGUUGAAACGGUUUGAGCAAGAAGCAAGAUUCUUAGAGGUCAGUGAUGGUGUUUUAGAGUUGUUUUGGUUUGAUGAUUGGGAAUUGAGUCAGUGAUUUUGUUGCAUUUGUCUUUCUUAUGUGGUUGGAUGCAUGUGUCAAUCAGAUGAUUGAGAUUUUAGUUUUGAGAAUUUUGAGCUUUAGAGGUUUGAUGGUUUCGUUCGAGUUUGAUGGUUGGUGUAUCUACAAUAGAAUUGGAUUGGAAACAAAUAAUGCAUCUAAGAGAAUUGCUUGAAAUGGAUAGGAUUACUGGUUAAGCUGUUUGCUAUAUUCUGGUUCUGUUUUAUUAAAAUAGUGGGUAUGGUAACCCAAUUUAUGGAGAAUGGGAGAGUUUAGCAAGUUCUAUGCCUGCCCUUUUGGGUUCAAUCUCAGCUUUGCUUGUUGGUUUCGUGCCAUCAUAAAAAUUUAUGUUUAACAGGAGUGUGAAGAUUCUAAAUUUCUGAUGUAAGUGUUGAAAGUGGGUAGAAUUUGAGAAGUUAUGGGUUAGUACUUGAUUUGUUUGUUAAAUGCUGAUCCUGUUUCAUUAAAUCAGUUGGUUUGGUUUCCCAAUUAAUUCAAAAUGUGAGAAAUGGCAAGUUAAAUACUGACCCUUUUGAGUGUAUCUCACCUUUGCUUGUAAUGGCCAUAUUUAUUAGGGUGGUUGUCUGUUUACUGUUACGGUCCUUCUAUGGAAGUGGAUUUUUGUGGGUUCAAUCUGGGUGAUUUGGUUUUCCCUUGUGACGAUGAAAUUUUGGUCGGUUACGUUGUUCAGCUCCAGUUUAGCACUUAAGAUGUAGCUUUGUACUUGAGUGAUCUGAUCGCAGUCUUGCUUACUAUUGUAUCCAAGUUGGAGAAGGCAAACUCAGUUUGCAGCGGAUAGAUAAGAAGGGAAACAGUUGGUUCAGACUUAUUGGUGUUUAUUUGUGCUGUGUUAAUGAGUACAUGAUUCCGCUGAUGCAACUGCUUGAUGUUGUGACUAAGGAAGCAGAUGAUACUUACAUGUAGGAAGAGCUGGAACAACUUGAAAAGAUAGACAAGGCCUCAGCUGCAUGCAAGGAAAUACUGAGUAAUGUAGAAACAAGGCCGGAUCCAUUACUCCCAAUAACCCGUGGCCCCCUUAAUCCAUUUUGGGAUAGAUGGUUUGAAGGCCCCAAAGACUCGAAAGGUUGCAGAUGCUGG